CAAGGCUGAGGCGUGAUGACGAGGCACUACGGUGCUGAAGCAACAAAUGCCCUGCUUCCAGGAAAAGCCUCUAAGCAUCAGGUAACAUCAAAUCGUACCCCAAACCGACACAGGUGGUCAGGUAGAGAAUACCAAGGCGCUUGAGAGAACUCGGGUGAAGGAACUAGGCAAAAUGGUGCCGUAACUUCGGGAGAAGGCACGCUGAUAUGUAGGUGAAGUCCCUCGCGGAUGGAGCUGAAAUCAGUCGAAGAUACCAGCUGGCUGCAACUGUUUAUUAAAAACACAGCACUGUGCAAACACGAAAGUGGACGUAUACGGUGUGACGCCUGCCCGGUGCCGGAAGGUUAAUUGAUGGGGUUAGCGCA
This 365-nucleotide ribosomal RNA is filed under the name Escherichia coli. RNAcentral's name for it is "partial 23S ribosomal RNA". It matches the Rfam family "Bacterial large subunit ribosomal RNA", at positions 1551 to 1897 of the family's 2925-position model. The record is from RNAcentral. Lineage: Bacteria; Pseudomonadati; Pseudomonadota; Gammaproteobacteria; Enterobacterales; Enterobacteriaceae.